AAAAUGCGAUAAGUAAUGUGAAUUGCAGAAUUCAGUGAAUCAUCGUAUCUUUGAACGCACAUUGCGCCCGCCAGUAUUCUGGCGGGCAUGCCUGUUCGAGCGUCAUUUCAACCCUCAAGCCCCCGGGUUUGGUGUUGGGGAUCGGGCUGCGGUUCUACCGCGUCCCGGCCCCGAAAUCUAGUGGCGGUCUCGCUGCAGCCUCCAUUGCGUAGUAGCUAACACCUCGCAACUGGAACGCGGCGCGGCCAAGCCGUUAAACCCCCAACUUCUGAAUGUUGACCUCGGAUCAGGUAGGAAUACCCGCUGAACUUAAGC
Molecule: unclassified non-coding RNA, 315 nt
Filed under: plant metagenome
Description: partial contains 5.8S ribosomal RNA, internal transcribed spacer 2, and large subunit ribosomal RNA
Rfam family: 5.8S ribosomal RNA (bases 1-105)
Source: RNAcentral